UGUCAGUGGUGAAAGCUUUGUCCCGUUCUGCUAUUGACGUUAAGUGAUGAUAAAGUUACGUCUAAGGAA
This is a small nucleolar RNA of Nomascus leucogenys (northern white-cheeked gibbon), 69 nucleotides long. The record is from Ensembl. Lineage: Eukaryota; Metazoa; Chordata; Mammalia; Primates; Hylobatidae.